GAAUAUUUGUUAGUGGUGUUAAUACCGUAUUUGAUUUAUUGUGUGGGGUCUUUUUAUUUGGUUUUAGUAGGUUUUUCACAGGUUAGAAAGGAUGCACCUUAAAAGGGGCACACAAAUGACAUUUUCUGAAGUUUCUAUUGUCUAACACGUGAAUUAUUUUGAAAAGGAAUGUACUGCGGAAAAAAACGAUGUAAACCUGGUACACAAAAUGUAUGAAAUGUUUGACAUGUUUUAAAAUAAGUAGUCUGAGGUACAGAGACAGGACAGGGAGAGAAACACUCACUUGUAGGGGUUGAAUGACCUCUGAACUCUGUUCUGACUUUUUGGUGAUGCCUGAUCACCUUCACUAGAGAGCCCAGAAACAUUGGCAAAGAUUUAUAUGUAAUAUGUAAAUACUCAUAAUUACAGAAAAGUUUAUAAUUAAUAGUUCUAUGUGUGAUUCGGACCACAAGAAGGACAGACCUCUCUCUAGUCUAUUUUACUAUGACCUAUAUAUUUUGGGAUACAAUUAUUUCCUUAUGGAGUUAUUAUUACGGGUAGUAAUUCUAAUUUGAUUUGUGUCAAAAUGGGGGAAUUACCAGUCCUCUGAGGUUUUUUUGGAUUGAAGAUUACACACCUCAAGUGAUAUGUAGGAGUGUAGCGAGUGAUAUAUGAAGGCGUGUAUUGUUGUGUUGUUUGUCCUGUUUCCAUUAUGUCUCACCAGAUUGGGUCUGCUGAAUGAUCGGGAUUUCUCCGUCUAACUUCCUGACCCUGUGACUCUGUGAUGAGGUCGACAGUGUGAUAAGGGAGUAUAAGCCAAUUUGAAAAAAUUGUUUCAACAGAAUGUGUUAUUUUCUUUGACAUUUGUCUUAAAAAUUUGUAUUAGGAAUAUUGGCAGUAGUAAUAAUUUGUCAUUCAGUAAAUCAUUUGUCUGGAUUUCUUGAAUCGGAAAUGCCUAAACUAAAUUGUUGUUUUGAUCUGUGGCAAAUGUGACCACAGAUGGUAUCUAGAUGCAUGGCAGGGACAAUUGAACCAAGGAACAGUGUGGACCUCAAACCCUCUCUAACCGACUGAGGAGUGCGACAUGAGUCCACAUGGAGGGAGCAUGGAGAGAUAUCCUGUCCGAAUUUCUCUCAUGCUGCUGGUAUACUGGUUGACAAAUGGGUGGUAACGGUAGUGGCGGCCCAGGUGAGACAUGGACAUUGUCAUGGGUAUUGUCAUGAGACAUCGGGACAUUGUAAUGGGCCAUCCACUUUGAACUGUGAAGUUAUCUUGAAAAAGACAAUGAAGAGACGCCAGAAGAAGGAGUGCCUGAAGGGGGGAUUGGUCAACUGUGCCCAUUAUUGAUUUAGUUUAUUUGGGGUAUCAGGUUGAUUUUGGAGGUCUACACACUGCACAAUUUAUAGUAAUUUAGACUAAGAAUGCAUUGAGAUACUGAUCUGUAAUUAUAACCCUGAUGAAAAAGUUAAUGCUAGAAUAAUAAGAAUGUUAUGACUCUCUUGGAUGAGGAUCCAAGGCUCAGAUCAGCGUGGCAAUGGCUGACGAAUGCCAGAACUCCUCUCACCUACAGAAGACGAGAGAGGGGGCUGGGCAGGUUAUGGUCACCUUCACACCAUGUCGUAAAUCAAGCUGGAGAGAACUAUUUCUUGCUCUCUAGUAUUGGGAUCGGAAUGUCUUAGUCUAAGAGAGACUUUUGCACCCCAAAAACUCUAAUGUCCAAGAGUGAACUUUGGAACAAUAUUUCUAAAUGGUCAUUGGGGACCUAAAGAAUAAUAAUGUCAUGUUGCUUUUCAUUAUGUGAUGUUAUUAAAAACUGUAUGAACCAAAUAUUGUAACUUAGGAAGGAACCCCACUUUAUCUGUCAAGUUACCAUCCGAUACGUUGUCUAUGUGAUAUGAAACUAUGGUUGUUAAGAUAGGAAGGUGAUUUUAGGAGUCAUAAGAGAUGACUUCUAAUCAUACCCUUUGCACAUUAAGUAGCCACGCCCCGAAUGAGGUCAGAGAGUUUGUCAGUGUGAUGGAACUGCCAUUUUUGACCAGAGUGCUUAAAAGGACUGGGUAAUAUUUAACAUAUCGUACCAGAAGAUGUGAGAUUGUGGUCCACAUGUUGAAAUGGUUGGAAACUCUGAAACUCUCAACCUCAAUACGAGGUGAAGAAGAUAAACUCACCAGACUAUACCCGAACAUGAACAGCCUGCAGCUUAGUUGUCUGGUCUCCAAUGGGCUGUUUUUGUUCAGAACUUGUUCUUAGCUUGUGUGGAUAGUCAGAGUUUGACCCCCUUUACACGGAGAGCCAAGAUAGACAACAAACGAAGACAUUCAACAAGUAAAUACAUUUGUUAUUUUCUUACCCAAAUGGGCAGCGGUUCAUGUGAAAGGUAUAUGAUUAAUGUGAGAAUGUAUCCAUGAUAAAUGUCCCUUUUUCUUCCUCUCUAUCCCUCUUCCCCUCCCCCUCCAUUUAUGUUGUAACAAGUGUCAUAUCUUGUCAGUUCAGGGACUUUUUAGGGACUUUUGUCUCUUGUACAGUUGAAGUCAGAAGUUUACAUACACUUAGGUUGGAGUCAUUAAAUUCGUUUUUCAACCACUCCACAAAUGUAUUUUUAACAAACUAUAGUUUUGGCAAGUUGGUUAGGACAAGUAAUUUUUCCAACAAUUGUUUACAGACAGAUUAUUUCACUUAUAAUUCACUGUAUCACAAUUCCGGUGGGUCAGAAGUUUACAUACACUAAGUUGACUGUGCCUUUAAACAGCUUGGAGAAUUCCAGAAAAUUAUGCCAUGGCUUUAGAAGCUUCUGAUAGGCUAAUUGACAUCAUUUGAAGUCAAUUGGAGGUGUACCUGUGGAUGUAUUUCAAGGCCUACCUUCAAACUCAGUGCCUUUGCUUAACAUCAUGGGAAAAUCUAAAGAAAUCAGCCAAGACCUCAGAAAAAAAUGGUAGACCUCCAGAAGUCUGGUUCAUCCUUGGGAGCAAUUUCCAAAUGCCUGAAGGUACCACGUUCAUCUGUACAAACAAUAGUAUGCAAGUAUAAACACCAUGGGACCACGCAGCCGUCAUACCACUCAGGAAGGAGAUGAGUUCUGUCUCCUAGAGAUGAACGUACGUUGGUGCGAAAAGUGCAAAUCAAUCCCAAAACAACAGCAAAGGACCUUGUGAAGAUGCUGGAGGAAACAGCUACAAAAGUAUCUAUAUCCACAGUAAAACAAGUUCUAUAUUGACAUAACCUGAAAGGACGCUCAGCAAGGAAGAAGCCACUGUUCCAAAACUGCCAGAAAAAAGCCAGACUACGGUUUGCCACUGCACAUGGGGACAAAGAUCAUACUUUUUGGAGAAAUGUCCUCUGGUCUGAUGAAACAAAAAUAGAACUGUUUGGCCAUAAUUACCAUCAUUAUGUUUGGAGGAAAAAUGGGUGAGGCUUGCAAGCCGAAUAACACCAUACCAACCAUGACGCACGGUGGUGGCAGCAUCAUGUUGUGGGGGUGCUUUUCUGCAGAAGGGACUGGUGCACUUCACAAAAUAGAAUGCAUCACGAGGAAGGAAAGUUUUGUGGAUAUAUUGAAGCAACAUCAGUCAUGAAGUUAAAGCUUGGUCGCAAAUGUGUCUUCCAAAUGGACAAUGACCCCAAGCAUACUUCCAAAGUUGUGGCAAAAUGGCUUAAUUAACCUCUCUGGGAUAUACCUGGCCUAAAGCCAUGGAAAAUGCAGUGCGCCAAAUUCAAAUAAAUUACUAUAAAAAUCUAACUUUCAUUAAAUCACAGAUGCAAGAUAGCAAAUUAAUGCUACACUUGUUGUGAAUCCAGCCAACAUGUCAGAUUUCAAAAAGGCGGAAUGGGACAAAAUUCACCCAACUUAUUGUGGGAAGCUUGUGGAAGGCUAACCAAAAUGUUUGAACCAAGUUAAACAAUUUAAAGGCAAUGCUACCAAAUACUAAUUGAGUGUAUGUAAACUUCUCACCCACUGGGAAUGUGAUGAAAGAAAUAAAAGCUGAAAUAAAUCUCUCUCUCUACUAUUAUUCUGACAUUUCACAUUAUUAAAAUAAAGUGGUGAUCCUAACUGACCUAAGACAGGGAAUUUUUACUACGAUUACAUGUCAGCAUUUAUGAAAAACUGAGUUGAAAUGUAUUUGGCUAAGGAGUAUAUAAACUGCCGACUUCAACUGUAAGUGUGUAUGUGUAUUCUGUGUUAUUAUUUAGUUGGUUUGUAAAUUAAUUAUUAAACCAAUUUGUGUAGUACUGAAUAAUCAGCAAAGGGGUUCUUGGGGCUCGGGUUCUUGCAGAUCCAAGAAGGUUACGACUGUUCAGAAUGAGAACUGAUAUGAGGUAAUGAUUAAUAAGUGACUUAUCGAUAUAUAAUGAAUAUAAAUCUUCUUGAGUUUAAUUCGGGAGAUGGUAUCUCAUUAAAUACCUUGUUCCAUGGUACCCCAAAUUCAUAAUGAGUUAAUUGUUGCAUGAUUAAUUUAUUCGGGUAACAAUUAAACAUAGUUAGUGGAUUGAAUAAAAAACAAUCAUCAGAUUGAUGAAAGUCACGUC
This is a long non-coding RNA of Oncorhynchus tshawytscha (Chinook salmon), 4503 nucleotides long. The record is from Ensembl. NCBI's taxonomy places the organism in Eukaryota, Metazoa, Chordata, Actinopteri, Salmoniformes, Salmonidae.